This 90-nucleotide transfer RNA is filed under the name Prevotellaceae bacterium. RNAcentral describes it as "tRNA-Ser". It matches the Rfam family "tRNA". Rfam says of the family: Transfer RNA (tRNA) molecules are approximately 80 nucleotides in length. Their secondary structure includes four short double-helical elements and three loops (D, anti-codon, and T loops). The record is from RNAcentral. Lineage: Bacteria; Pseudomonadati; Bacteroidota; Bacteroidia; Bacteroidales; Prevotellaceae.
GGAAGUUUGGGUGAGUGGCUGAAACCAGCAGUUUGCUAAACUGCCGUGCGAGUAAUCGUACCAGGAGUUCGAAUCUCCUAGCUUCCGCAA